UUCCCAUAUAUUUGGGUUCAGUCUCCUCUGUAUGUCUCGAUGGGGUUUGGCAUCUGCCUCGUAAUGAAUAUGGUACAUACAGAUAGAGGGGUCAUUUCCUUUUAGAUUAGCCAUGGACCAACCGAUAGCCUCUUUAUUUUUCUUCAAAAUACCAAUCAAUUAUGCUUCUUGAUCCAGAGUCAAAUCUGAUGCAAUGAUCACCGAGAGGGUGUCGUUAGGUCCUAGGAAUGCAUACUUGAGUG
This 242-nucleotide long non-coding RNA is filed under the name Elaeis guineensis (African oil palm). Its description in RNAcentral is "long non-coding RNA (EGUI_LNC073633)". The record is from RNAcentral. Lineage: Eukaryota; Viridiplantae; Streptophyta; Magnoliopsida; Arecales; Arecaceae.